GUGUGUAGCUCAGUGGCAGAGUGUGUGCUUAGUAGGCAUGAGGCCUUGGUUUGCAUCCCCAGCAACACA
This 69-nucleotide transfer RNA is filed under the name Marmota monax (woodchuck). Its description in RNAcentral is "tRNA.Thr". The record is from RNAcentral. Lineage: Eukaryota; Metazoa; Chordata; Mammalia; Rodentia; Sciuridae.